AAGCACAGAAAUGGGUUGGCGGCAAAGACAUGCAUCAGACCAACUGUUGAGUUUUAACCCUUGGCCAUGGGUCAGUACAAUGUAAAAGGAAUUGGAAACAAGAGAAGCUUUUCUACAACAAGACUGUAGAAACUGAUCAGAGAGAUGCUGCUUUGGCCAACUGUCCAACAUCUACUGAAACAGAUAUAGCAAGCUUCAUAGGUUAAUAUUUGAAACAAACAUGCUCCAAGUAAGCUCUUGAGGGAGCAUGAGAGAGCGGAAUGAGCAGCGAGGCAAGCCACAACAGCUGAUAAAUCAGAUUAAACUGUAUGGGGGGGAGUGUGUGUAAGCGUGUGUGUGUGUGUGUUUGUGUGGUUAAUUUAGUCUGAUUAAAUAAUACUAAAACCCUU
Molecule: long non-coding RNA, 389 nt
Organism: Haliotis rubra (blacklip abalone)
Lineage: Eukaryota; Metazoa; Mollusca; Gastropoda; Lepetellida; Haliotidae
Exons: 2
Source: RefSeq, a predicted model, not a curated record